AGAUUUCAUCUGGAUAUGGUGAGUGCUUUCCUGAUCCUACCUGUGCUUCCCCAUUCACCUCAUCUAGAAUAUUCUUGCCUUGCACUUUCAUCUUAGUGAAUUCCAUUCUUCUGAUAAAGUUACAGUACAGGUCUUCUAACCAAGAGACUUUGUAUGGAGCCCAAGAGAUGGGAGAAGACAUGAAAGGAUUUUCUCUUUUAUUGGGUGCUGAAAAGUCAGUGUGGAUACCUGAAAAACUGAUUCAACCUGUGGAAGACAGACAAAGAACUUCCCAAGUGUCUACAGGGGCUACAGCUAAAGAAAAGGAAGAGAACAGGGCAAUGGAAUUGUCGAACCAAAGAGAACAGAGUCUGUCCACCAACCAUGACUCAGAUGAAGGGACUGGUGACUGAGGGAACAGACUUGGUGAGAUCGUGGGGAAGGGUGUGACUGCAGAACUGCUGUUCCUUGCUGUGCUGCCUCUGCUGACCACAUCUGUUACGCUGAGACAUAUUGGGUGUGUGUACCUGAGAUCCUCCUGUGCUUCACUUGUUAACUGGGAAGAGAACAACAUGCCUGUUUAUGUCAAUGACUCUGAGAUCUUGGGUGCCCCCCCCCAAUGCUAAUCAUAUUGUUCCCCAAGCAGAGAUGGUCACAUGAUAAUUUAAGUAUUGCUGUUCAGGCCUUGCAUGAUAAAAUAUUAACCAUUCAACAUUCAAAAUUAGAUGAAUUACCCUCCUCCAUUGCUGCACAAAACCUGACCAAGAUUCUUGGUCAUUAUUUUUAUGUCUCUAAUUGGACUUCUAAACUAUGGCUCAUAGGAAUGUCCCUGGGAAGUUUUUUGCUGAUUUGACUUGGAAGCAUUAUAGUCUUGAGAUUGAUUUGCUACUCCAUGUGUGCUUUAAAUAUUGAUUUACACCGGGCAGUGUUGGCACACGCCUUUAGUCCCAGCACUCAGGAGGCAGAGACA
Non-coding RNA from Peromyscus maniculatus bairdii (prairie deer mouse), 949 nucleotides. NCBI's taxonomy places the organism in Eukaryota, Metazoa, Chordata, Mammalia, Rodentia, Cricetidae. The record is from RefSeq and is a predicted model, not a curated record.